GAUGAACGCUGGCGGCGUGCCUAAUACAUGCAAGUCGAGCGAACGGACGAUAAGCUUUCUUCUCUGAUGUUAGCGGCGGACGGGUGAGUAACACGUGGAUAACCUACCUAUAAUACUGGGAUAACUUCGGGAAACCGGAGCUAAUACCGGAGAAUAUUUUGAACCGCAUGGUUCAAAAGUGAAAGACGGUCUUGCUGUCACUUAUAGAUGGAUCCGCGCUGCAUUAGCUAGUUGGUAAGGUAACGGCUUACCAAGGCAACGAUGCAUAGCCGACCUGAGAGGGUGAUCGGCCACACUGGAACUGAGACACGGUCCAGACUCCUACGGGAGGCAGCAGUAGGGAAUAUUCCGCAAUGGGCGAAAGCCUGACGGAGCAACGCCGCGUGAGUGAUGAAGGUCUUCGGAUCGUAAAACUCUGUUAUUAGGGAAGAACAUAUGUGUAAGUAACUGUGCACAUCUUGACGGUACCUAAUCAGAAAGCCACGGCUAACUACGUG
This 497-nucleotide ribosomal RNA is filed under the name uncultured bacterium. Its description in RNAcentral is "partial 16S ribosomal RNA". It matches the Rfam family "Bacterial small subunit ribosomal RNA", at positions 28 to 507 of the family's 1533-position model. The record is from RNAcentral.